CCUUGCGGUUUUCUGAGCAGGUGGUUUGUUCCACCUUUUUCUACACAUGAUCUCCACGUCUACGGUUACAGACGGUUUUCACACUUCCUUCCGAAUCCCACUCCCACGUUCUGCCUCUACACUUCUUUAUAUAUCACUUUGCAAUCCCGAUUGGAACUCCUCUCACUCUAAUCAUAGAUAACCCUAACCAUCACCACUGACAAUCAUCGCACAACCACCACCGCAACGAGGGGAACGGGCCGGCAACCAUCACACCACCACUCCGAUGACGGCCGCACUAGCGGCGAACUAUCAGCACUCGAUUGUCACAUCACUCCUCUCUGCGAUCGUUUUCAAUCGGAAGGUUUAAUGACGGAUUGUUAUCGAAUGUAAUCGUGAUGGCUAAUACUGUUUGUUGAAAUUAAGGAAGCACUUGAGUUGCUAGAGGAACUGGAUGAAGCAUUGGGACUGCAAAAACUUGUGGAAGCAUUGCAAGUUAGGAUCACUAGGUUUACAUUUGAAGGAAAAUCACAAGAGUUCUAUGGAGGCUGCAAGAAGUUCUAAGUAUUAAGGCGAGGCAAUUAGCGGCUUCUAGGUUUGUUGAGUUCUUUUCUGGAUUAUCAGGUGCUGCAAUUGAUUGCAUCUGAACCAUCCUUAUUGGAAUUUACAGUCUCUGGUGUCUCCUUUUUCAAUUGGAUUUUAAAGUAAUUGACAGUGAUGCUUCCGAUUUAAAUCAUAAUUGUGCAGUUCUGAUAAGGUAAUGGAAAUAUGAUAAAAUUGUUACCUGUUGGUUAUAUGAGUCAACGUCAUAGUCAAAGCUCCUACUCCUCUCAUGAUUUCCCUAACUCAAAAGGAGAAGGUGUCAUGGGUUUCCAAUGAAGGUGGUUAGCUUGGUAUUUCACAUUUUCACUCAUUCCAUGAAGAGCUUUGUUAACCCAGUCAAUUUGUUGUUGCUUGCAGUUAAAAGGGAUGUAUCGAAUGGUAAAGACAACUGAUCGGGCACCGGCUUCUUCAGUUAACUAGGGCAGUUUAUCUUUACGAAAACUCUUCAUCCGGGGAUAAUUCUGAUGAUAUGCUAUCUGACAUUCGUAACCCAAGAACCAAAGAACGAUCAGCUGAAAAAUAGAGGAAGGUCUAGAGUUUACCAGGAGAAAUAUUAUCAGUAUAGUCUAUGGAGCAAUUCUUCAAGGUGAAAACUUUGUUUUAUUUGUUUAUACUUUUGUUUUCAUUUUAAGAUACUUGACGAAACAUUUUUUUAUAAAAUAAAUGGUACAUAGUAAACUCCACAAGCUAAACCUCUUCCCCUCACCCACAAAAAAAAAAAAAAAAAAAAAAAAAAAAACUUUUUAUGUGGCCAUAAAAGAAAAGAUUUGAUUAUUAAAAUUCAACUUUAGCCGAAACAAUUAAAAAAAGGCCGUUAUAACCAAUCAUUUAAACAAAUGUGGCGACAAGCAGCGAGAUAAGAAUCAUUGUGUUAAUUGGCCGUUGAAUUUAUUUACUUUUUUGAGUAAUCAUUGUUUGGAUUCAUAACAUAUUAUUGAUCAUCUAUAGAAAAUAAUGUUUUGCUAUCUCUUUUCCAUGAAACGAAGGGUUUGCCAACAUUCCCCAUGGUUUGACUACUUAUGACAGUUUCAUACGGACCCAUAGCAAAUCUUCUUCCUUUUUUAGUUUUUAGCGUAGUUUUUUUUUAAUAUAAACAUCCUUAACAAAUGUUUGUUACAUCCUUACCAAACUUGAGGGUUGGGCAUCAGGCAUCAAGCCAAUGGGUUGAAAAGACCCCCCCCCCCCCCCCCCGGGUCAAAGAGGACGAUCCAAAAGUCAAAAAAACGAGACGGUAAACCAUGUUUGAAUGCUAUUACACUUUCCGCUCAUGUUCUUGUAUGUUACCAUGCAUAUGUUUUGCCUUCUAUUUACUUUUGCAUUAAAAUGACACCAUUUCAUGUUUUA
Molecule: long non-coding RNA, 1926 nt
Organism: Helianthus annuus (common sunflower)
Lineage: Eukaryota; Viridiplantae; Streptophyta; Magnoliopsida; Asterales; Asteraceae
Exons: 8
Source: RefSeq, a predicted model, not a curated record